GUACAUGCUGUUUUCUGCCUUGAAGAGUAUUUGUCCCUUUUUUGUUGUUUGUUUUUGUUUAGUUAUUAUUUGUUUUUUUAAUAAUAUAUUUUUUAUUACACAAAUGAAUUGAUUACAUCUGUAGUUGUAUAAUGAUCAUCACAAUCCAAUUUCACAGGAUUUCCAUCCCAUAACCCAAGCACAUCUCCCCAAACUGUCUCCUCCGGAGGCCAUAAGUUUGUCAAUGUCUGUGAGCCUUUUUUUUUUUUUUUUUUGUCUAGCUAACUCAGUCAUGGUUUCCCCGGAACAGCCUUUGCAUGCAUCGACUCUCCACAACUCUGUGAGAGCUGGCACUGUAUUUGUGUGGCUGACUCCACUUCCCUUUCCUCCCCCUGUUUACUCUCUAGUCCCACGAGCCUUUUUUUUUUUUUUUUUGGCUGUGUGGCCCUAAAAAGAGUUGAAGGGGAUGAAUUAUGAGCCAGGUGGAUAUUUCUGCUGUGGUGUUGGCGCAGGUUGCAACUGCGGUGGCGUGGGUUCCAUCCCUGGCCUGGGGCGUGUCCACAUGCUGCAGGUCCAGCCCCAAACAAGUACAAAAGAGACAGCAGGGGCCAAGGCCCAGAGGCAGGACUGUGCCUGGUGCGUGGAGAACAGCCAGGAUGUCAGUACACCCAGAGCAAGGUUUUAGGAAAGGAGCCUGCGGCCAGGCGAGGUCACAGAGAACCCAGGGACCAUUUCAUGCAGGACCUUGGCCACCAUGAGGUCUUGAUUUUCCUUUGUUUGAGAUCAUGGCGCAACUUGAGCCAAGGAAGGUCAUGAUCUGACUUGACUGGCACAGCUCCUGCCUUAAUCGCGGACUGUAUCGAGGGAGGGGUGGGAGCAGGCAUCACUGCGAGGUGCUGCAGUAAUCUGGGCAUGAGAUAGCAGCUUUUUUUUUUUUUUUUUUUUUUGGUUUUUUUUGGGCCCCCCCACAACAUAUGGAGGUUCCCAGGCUAGGGGUCCAAUCGAAGCUACAGCUGCAGGCCCGCACCACAGCCACAGCAACUCGGGAUCCAAGCCGCAUCUGCGACCUACCCCACAGCUCAUGGCAGUACCAGAUCCUUAACCCACUGAGCGAGGCCAGGGCUCGAACCUGUGUCCUCAGGAAUACUAGUCAGAUUUUGUUUCCACUGAGCCACGACGGGAACUCAGAGCAACCUGAAUCAAGGAAAGACGUGCAGCUCAGGGACAAAGUGGUGAUAGCAACAGUGUGGAGGGGGGUCCGAGAUCGGACGUGAAGGUAGAACCAAAGGCAUUUGCAGACUGUUGGGUAAGGAAGAAAAGAGAAGAGUCAGGGAUCAGUAGUCAGGACAGAGGCAGUGGCUUGUGCCCUCUGCCUUAAUGGAAGUGUUCUAGAUCUGCCCUGUCCAAUAUGGAAGCCACCAGCCUUACAUGGCCAUGAAGCACGUGGAAUGUGGCCAGAGCAAUGAGGAACUGACCUUAAUCCUAUGUAGCUGUAAUGACUUAAAUCUGUAUCGUCCCACCUCUGUGACAACAGAAGUCAUGGA
This 1523-nucleotide long non-coding RNA is filed under the name Sus scrofa (pig). RNAcentral describes it as "lncRNA (ENSSSCG00025030350.1)". Lineage: Eukaryota; Metazoa; Chordata; Mammalia; Artiodactyla; Suidae. The record is from RNAcentral.